GCAAGAAUCAAUGUAGACAUCAAGGCCCGCGUCAUAAACUUCCCAUAUGAUUUCCCAUAUGGGAGUUUAUGACUUAGGCUUCGUUGCCUCUGUCGUCACCGUCUUGA
Molecule: non-coding RNA, 107 nt
Organism: Bombyx mori (domestic silkworm)
Lineage: Eukaryota; Metazoa; Arthropoda; Insecta; Lepidoptera; Bombycidae
Product: microRNA mir-3204a
Exons: 1
Source: RefSeq, marked provisional